Bactrocera oleae (olive fruit fly) is the source of this 2053-nucleotide long non-coding RNA. RefSeq lists it as uncharacterized. NCBI's taxonomy places the organism in Eukaryota, Metazoa, Arthropoda, Insecta, Diptera, Tephritidae. The record is from RefSeq and is a predicted model, not a curated record.
AUCGGGUACAAUUCAUUAACAACAUAAUAAUAAUCCAAACAAUGUACUAAUUAGUAAAUAAUAUUUAAAAAAUAUUCUAAAUCAUUCACAGCGAUAUAUUUAUUACAUGUAAUUUUAAUCUUUAGGAAUUUUAAUAAUCGAAAAAUAUUUGAAAAUGUAAUAAAAACACUCUUAAAGUCAUAACACGGCAACGCACUGUAGCAGAUUGAGGGAUUUCUACGUUUUAGUAGUAGAAUAUUAGCAGGCAACCCGUACCAAGUGUGACUUUAGUAUAGAAUAUAAGUAGGCAACUCCUACCAAGGGGAUAUUUUUGCGUGUGUAUUAGUGAAAAUCGUAGGAUGACCACGUUCUGCGUGGUCAGAAAGCAACUGGCUCUAUCAUCGUUUCUACGGUAUAAUCAAUAAUGAUAGAGGAAGAGAUUUCACCAUGCGCAUGUUUGCUUUCUGUCAGAUGUUGCUACAUCACGGUUGACUUGUCGUUAUUCUUCGGCUUUUAAAUUCCCUACAAAAAACUGCUAAUGGGUUCACCAAUACACUCACAUUUAUUAUGUCAGUACUGACGAUCAAAUUACCCGGCAAUUGACUUUCAAUUUAUAUUGCUUACUAUAGCUCUACAUAUGAAAGAAUGAAAUAGCUGAAUUCUUUAGUACUGUCACUACUGACAGCCAAAUGAACAGUAAAAUAACUGUCAAUGUUUCCGAUUUUUCUAAAAGCAAUACAUUUCCAUAGAAGUUUCGAGAAGUUGUGAAAUACCUAUGUAGCUGUUAUUCCGUGCGAUAAGCCAAAAGUGUUGCGUACUCCUGUGCAAUAACUCUUUUUGUAUUAAAAAAUUAAAUAAAUAACGAAGGAGUUUUCAAAUAUCAUAUAAGAAAGUUUCAAAUAAUAUUAUAUUUUUAGUUAAUUUUCAUUUAUAUUUAGGCAUUUUUAAAUUCAUGAACUGGAGAAACACGUACAGCAGAGCUUUUGAGAGGAGCAAGCAUGGAAUUAAGUGAAAAUUUCGCAAUUUAUUUUUUAAUUAUAUUUUGGUUGCACUCCUUUUUUAAAUUAAUGUAUAUUAUUAUAACUAAUUUCAAUGAAAAGUUUUGAAUUUAGUAUAGACAUAAAAAUUAUAUUAUCUACUGCGCAAAAACAUUUUUCACUUGUGAUAGAGAUAGUCAGUCAUAACGGACAAAUGGCAGCUAUGAUAGCUUUUCGGUCAUAACUGACAAUUUUCAGCUUUGAUGGAUUUAUGGUCAGCAAUGUCUAGAUAUAUAGUGAAUCAAUUCCGAAUACCCAUGUCUUAAAGAGAGAUGCAAACUCGUACACAUACGUUUGUUUACAUCAGUUUUCGCACAAGGCUCUUAAGAAAAUGAUAGAAACUUUGUUCUGCGCAUUGACAAAAUUUUUUCAGCUGGGACUGCUAUAUUACCGGUCAGACGACUGUCACUGUUCUUGUAGGGUUGUGUUUUCAAUUGGGAAACUGUGUUUGUGAUACUUAGUACUUAACACGUACACUUAAUAAAACUACAGGGAAAUAAUUUUUAGAAUAAUGGCUUUACUAUCAAUAUAAAAGUUGUUAGAAAAUUCAUUAUUCUGAAUCUGCUUUCGCUUACGUCCAAUGAGCUAUCCGCCACACAAAAAAUUUCUCAGAAGCACUUGACUGUAACAGGAGCAGAAAGACAACAUUUUAAAAUAGCCCAAAAUUGUUUUCCUACACAAUUGCUCGAGUGGGUAGUUUAGGUUUGCUAAAUAACGAAAAUUGGGAGGAAUGCUAUCGACUUUUCAAAAUUACAGAUGACUGGUUUGCCAUAAUGAAUGUCAGGGAGCCCAAAGAUGGUGUAAGGCUUUGAACACCCAAAAUAAUAUAUUGGAACAGAUGACGGAGAUAGUUUCAUCAAAGAGCUCAUCAACUUGGUCACAACAAAGGAGCUUUUACAGAAGCAGGAAAUGUUAAACUCAAUAACACCCCGGAUUUGGAAGGGAAUUACUUAUAUCUAAAAGUUAAUUAUCAAAAUGUUAAAAGUACAUUGUAAUAUAAACCUGAGACUAAAGAAUAAAAAAUUUUAAUAUUCAAA